Long non-coding RNA from Gavialis gangeticus (Gharial), 136 nucleotides. RefSeq lists it as uncharacterized. The transcript is spliced from 3 exons. Lineage: Eukaryota; Metazoa; Chordata; Crocodylia; Gavialidae. The record is from RefSeq and is a predicted model, not a curated record.
GGGCGGGACUUCUGGUCACAAGAUGGCAACCAGGGGGUGGGGUACCUGUCAAGGGGCAGGGCUACCCUUGCAGGCCCUUGACAGAUCACCAAAACUCAUUAAGUGGCCCUCCAGCUGAAUUAAUUGACCACCCCUG